RNAcentral lists this ribosomal RNA (831 nucleotides) under Salmonella enterica. RNAcentral describes it as "partial 23S ribosomal RNA". It matches the Rfam family "Bacterial large subunit ribosomal RNA", at positions 566 to 1315 of the family's 2925-position model. Lineage: Bacteria; Pseudomonadati; Pseudomonadota; Gammaproteobacteria; Enterobacterales; Enterobacteriaceae. RNAcentral also lists the same sequence under 1 other name. The record is from RNAcentral.
ACCAAAGCAUUCUCUGGUGUUGAAGGCCCUGCAAAGCAGCAUCGCGGUGGCGGAGCGUCGUUUGCGACGCCCAACACACAAAACAAGCGGUGAGUGCUUUGGGGUGGGGUGACUGCGUACCUUUUGUAUAAUGGGUCAGCGACUUAUAUUCUGUAGCAAGGUUAACCGUAUAGGGGAGCCGAAGGGAAACCGAGUCUUAACUGGGCGUUAAGUUGCAGGGUAUAGACCCGAAACCCGGUGAUCUAGCCAUGGGCAGGUUGAAGGUUGGGUAACACUAACUGGAGGACCGAACCGACUAAUGUUGAAAAAUUAGCGGAUGACUUGUGGCUGGGGGUGAAAGGCCAAUCAAACCGGGAGAUAGCUGGUUCUCCCCGAAAGCUAUUUAGGUAGCGCCUCGUGAACUCAUCUUCGGGGGUAGAGCACUGUUUCGGCUAGGGGGUCAUCCCGACUUACCAACCCGAUGCAAACUGCGAAUACCGAAGAAUGUUAUCACGGGAGACACACGGCGGGUGCUAACGUCCGUCGUGAAGAGGGAAACAACCCAGACCGCCAGCUAAGGUCCCAAAGUCACAGUUAAGUGGGAAACGAUGUGGGAAGGCUCAGACAGCCAGGAUGUUGGCUUAGAAGCAGCCAUCAUUUAAAGAAAGCGUAAUAGCUCACUGGUCGAGUCGGCCUGCGCGGAAGAUGUAACGGGGCUAAACUGUGCACCGAAGCUGCGGCAGCGACGCUUAUGCGUUGUUGGGUAGGGGAGCGUUCUGUAAGCCUGCGAAGGUGUCCUGUGAGGGAUGCUGGAGGUAUCAGAAGUGCGAAUGCUGACAUAAGUAACGAUAA